AAUAAUGCAUCCUGUAGAAUGAUUAUGUGUACAGCCUCAUCUUUAAGUCCCACUGUUGCACCUGCCUUUAUUAUUUCUAAUUUUGCACUUGAUUGUCAGCAAUUCCAGCGUCUGAGGUGAUGAAUUCUAUUUUUUCCUUCCACUGCUCUCCCUCUACUGGAAUACUGAUGUAUUUACAUUAUAGGCUGUAAUGUAUUUCAGUAGAGGGAGCACAGUUAAGGAAAGUCCUGCUUGUAAUACCCCUUAUGCAGAAUAGAGCCUUUGCUCUCCCUGGAAAAGAAAGGAGGAAAGGGAGAGGUGUAGUCAGAGUAGCUUAGAGAGAAUAUAUGAACAAAGGCUCUGCCAAUUUUAGAAGGAUAUAAAGAAACCAAAGCCAACACAUUCCUAAUUCAGUGAAUCUGAGUUUUUUGUUUCUCAAAUGGCUUCAAUACUUUGGGGUUGAUAAUGGAGACUCUCUGUUACCAACCCUGUAAUUUACACAGAUAAAUAUACUGUAGUUAUUGGUUUCCAAGUUCACUGAAAUGUUGUAUUGGGACUGGUGGUUUUCCCCAAAUAAAGAGACUUGUAUGGGAUCUUAAAUCUUAGAAAAGUUUUGAGCAGUUUCAGCCUUUUUACAUUGAACUGGAUUUAAAGAUUGGAAAGAUCAACUUCUUUUUAAUUGCACUUUAUGAUGCCGUUGGCCUUAAAGCAUUUUACAAGUGAAUCUGCUAUGCAAAGAACCUUUUUGGUAAAGCAAGACCUUGUUACCCUUAGCACCUACCAGGAACAUCCCUAAACUUGGAUGGUGAAGUAAGACCGUAUUUAAAUACAUCCUUGGAAGGGAUGAAAUGCUCAGAAUUUGGCAGCAAUUCACCUCUGACAGCCUAGUUCUUAAGCCACGUGCAGUCUAAUUGGUGGUGAUAGCUUUUAACAAAUGUUUUAACAAACAUUUUCACAAAUUAAAAUUUUUUCCUACUUAGUUUUCUCAUGUCCUCAGUGAAGUUACUUUUGUGUUCACCCUGGUACUUAGUAAAGUGCCUGAUACAUGGUAGGCAACCAGGAACUGCAUGAUAAAUUGGACCCAUUAUUAAACCUUAUAAACUACAUAUCAUUUAAAGGUGUAGACAGAACUAAAGUUCUGAGUUGUAAGACAUCAUCAGAAGUACACUGGCAGAAGUACUGACUAAUACCAUGCAAGGCAUUCUGCCAUAUUACAAUAACUUAUAUGAAAUGAAUAUAAAUUGGAUUUUUUUAUUUUAAUGGAACCAGGGCUUGAACUCAGGGCUUCAAGCUUGCAAAGCAGGUGUUCUACCACUUGAAUCAAACCUCCAGUGCAAAAAAAAGUAUAAAGUGUAUGAGUUACUUUCUUUUCUUGUUUUAGGGUAUGAAGAGUGGAUUAUUUAUGAACAUGGUCAUCAAGUCUUUAUUAUGGCUUGUAGGAAAAUUAAAGAUUUGAGUUUCUGUUGUACUCUAGUUUAUAAAUGGUGUUCUUUUUAUAAAGAACACUUCUAAAAUGUCGAAAUUUGAAUAUCAGAUGCACUUUCUCAGCUUGCAGUUUUGACUUUUGUUGGUGAUUCCUUCCAGUUAUUAGGAAAUCCCAAACUAUGGAUAUCAGAAUCAGCCUUUGCUAGAAGGAGUGGGGCUUUUUGAUGUGUAUGAAAGAAUGUAGUAAAAUGCAGUGUCUGUAGCAAAACAGAAUUGGGUGGGGAGAUGCCAGGAAUUGCUUGUCAUUCUCUUGUCUCCACAUCCUUUCCAAUUUGGUAGUCAAUUUUCUGGGUAAGGAUUGAACUGAACUGAUCAGUGUUACAUAAGACAUUUGUGUUAAGCUUUGCACCAAGUGCUUUCAAAGGAUCUUUUCCUGUAAUCCUUGGAAACCUGGCCUUAUCUCCAUUUUACAGAUAAAGAAACUGAGAUACUGGCAAGUUUAGGUAACUUUCAUUAGUGGAAGAACUAGUAUCUGAAUCCAGUAAUGACAAUAUUGGCUCUAAAUCCUACCUCAUUUUCCUUAUCUGUUCACUAUAAAUUAUACAACUAAUGCCUUGUACACUGUGAGUAUUAAGAUAAUACUGCAAGGUACCUAUGGAACAUACCUGACUUCUCAUAGAUACUCAGUUAUUAAUAAUCUCCCUUAGCUAUGAGAAUACUUAAUUUUUUUUUUAUCUUGAGCUCUUUUCUGUUUUCUUUAUACUACCAAUCAAAAACUUUUGAAGGCAACAAAAUUGGUAUCAGCAGGAAUUAGGACAGAAGUUUAAAGGAUUGUAAGUUGCUACACUAAUUCCCAUUAGUGAAUUGUGAAAUAUUUUACACGUGAAAGAAGAGAAAUCGGGCAAUGUCUUGAAGCAAGACCACACUUCACAUUUGCCCUUUUCAUUAUUUUUAUUCUCUGUGUUUUACUUUCAGGAAUCAGAAGAGGUGUGCUCAACCAGCAAGCUCUCUUUAGAAUCUAAAUGGCUGCUGCCCUAACCUUUUCAAUAGCAGUUGCAAGUGCCAUUAAAAUUCUGAUUUUCAUUUAUUUAAAUGUAGAAUUACAAAACUCAAAGUAAUUAAUGAAUUAAGUACUUGAAUCUAGGGAAACAGAGGUUGGCUGUUUUCAUGUCACUAGGAAUGACAAACGUUUCCGUGAUUCACAAUGAGUGAAGAAUUGAAAGUUUGUGCUGUGGACAUGCGGGUUAUGUUAAGUUCAGCGUUAGGAACCAUAUUGUUGCCAAGGGAAUAUAUGUUUUAACUACUGUUUUUCUCAUUGACAUUCUUGUGUAGGAAGUUAAAACUGUAGAGAUGAUUUUUUAGAUUUUAGAUCCUUUCAUUCAUCCCUUGGUAUCCCAAAGGAAUUGGUUCCUGGACUCCCACAGAUACUAAAAUUUGUAGCUGUUCAAGUCCCUUCUAUAAAAUGACCUAGUAUUUGCAUAUCAUAGCCUGCAGAUAUCCUCCUGUACUCCUUAAAUCAUCUCUAGAUUACUAUAAUGCCUGAUACAGUGUAAAUGCUAUGAAAAUACAUAUUAUACUAUAUUUAGGGAAUAAUAACAAACUAAAAAAAAAUCUGUACAUGUUCAGUAGAUGGACAGCUUUUUAGAAAAUACAUUUACAACCCAUGGUUGGUUGGAUCUGAGGAUGCAGAGGGUCACCUGUAUUUUGAUAAGGACUGGUUUCACUUUUUGGACUUGUUUGUAUGCAAUCCAGGAAACUAAACCAACAAACAAAAAAGUCAUGCCAUUUAUGCUUGUAUCUUUCUCUGUGUGUAUGCUUUAAAAUAGCUUUUUGUUUGUGGGCUUUUAUUUAAUUGAUUGGGACAGAAUCUUGGUGUGUUGCUCAGGCUGCCCUCAACCUUGUGGGCUCAAGAGAUCUUCCUGUUUCAGCCUCUGCAGUAGCUGGCUGCAUGCCAACAUGCCCAAUCAAACUUUUACAUUUUGAACCUAAACCAAAACUUUUUGAAUUUAUUUUUACUUACUAAAAUUUUAUAUUUCUGCAACUUGGACCUUGUUUCUUGAACAAAGAAUUUGACUACCUCUCACCCCAGACAUUUGAAAUUAAAAAAAAAAAAAAAAGAGUAAGCCUACAUCCUUCCUACUUAGAGAAAUGCCUGUAGGCAAGUGGCUCUGAAGAGGUUACAAGGGUGCUGAUGAUACUACAGUGUGAAACAUGAAUGAUCAGAAUCACAGUUUUUGUACAAAGCUUCACAUGUUCACAUCACUUUGAGGUAACAGUAAUAAUACAAACACGGAACGUGCUUGAUGUGGUCUGCUACUGUUGCAAGUAUCUUGAGUGCUUUAGUUCAUUAAGUUGCCUUUUAUUUUACCAUUUUUCAAACCUAUCAUUAAUGUUAUGCGUAUGUGCAUAUUGGUGAAGCAUGGUAAAUUUUAUGGGUCAAUGCCUAAUUUAGUGAAUAAAAUCGGACCAAAAUCAGUAUCUUAAAAAACAAAACAAAAAACUCACGUUUUCUGGGAAUUCUAUACAUUCUCCUAAGCUCUGGGUUCUCACCCUACUCCAGAAAAGACAACCAUAACAUGUCAAGUUCAAAGUGAAUCAGAUUUCUAAAUGGCAAGAUUCUUAUUUUGGAUGCGAAUGAAUCAUUUCCAGGAGCAACAGAAGGGGAAAUACCGAAAUUUUGGGAAGUGUCUCCAAAACAUGAAAACGGAUUAAAGACCGCCUCUCUCGCAUCUCCUCCCUCUUACUCUGCUUUCGUGAUCCCCAUUUUUGCUGUGACCUCCAGUUGUGGACAUUUGAGGCACACGUGGGCGGCCUCGCGCGCGCGCGCGCGGGGCUUGAGGCUGACACCUGGGCCGGCACCUGGCGGCAUUUUCACACCUGCCGGUGGUUCCCUACUUGCUGGGUGUCCGCUCUGUGGCGGCUUCCCAUUCAUGCUUUUUGACAACUGUGCGGCAGCCCGCAAGCCAAGUGCCUUAGUGCCCAAGCUUCUCUACCCCCGGGCUCCAAGCCCCAGAGGGAGGGCCCUGCGACGGCACGCGUUGAUGCACCGGGGCCGGCCGGCCGGCUCCUCCAUAGGUGACUGCGUUUCCGACUUCGCCCUGGCUCCACUCCGGGGGCUUGACGUGCAAACUUCGCCGGAGCGAGCUGAGAGGGAGGGACCGGCGAGGGGGAGGAGGCGACGGGAGGCGCCUCAGCUUAAGGGAGCCGGCCCGGCGCCGCCGCUCGGACGGACGCGCGGACGGAAGGAAGGAGCGGGGCCGCCGGGCCCGGCCCGGGGAUGCGAGCGGCCGCAGGGUGGGCAGCCAGAAAGCAAGGGAGCGGAAAGAAUGUCGGAGCGGGCCGCAGAUGACGUCAGGGGGGAGCCGCGCCGCGCGGCGGCGGCGGCGGGCGGAGCAGCGGCCGCUCGGCAGCAACAGCAGCAGCCUUCGCAGCCCCAGCGGCAGCAGCCGCCGCCGCGGCGCCUACGGCCGGAGGACGGCGGCUCCGGGGCCGCCUCCACCUCGGCCGCCGCAAUGGCGACGGUGGGGGAGCGCAGGCCCCUGCCGAGUCCCGAAGCGAUGCUGGGACAGUCGUGGAAUCUGUGGGUCGAGGCUUCCAAACUUCCUGGGAAGGACGGGACGGAAUUGGACGAAAGUUUCAAGGAGUUUGGGAAAAACCGCGAAGUCAUGGGGCUCUGUCGGGAAGACAUGCCGAUAUUUGGUCUCUGCCCAGCCCAUGAUGAUUUCUACUUGGUGGUGUGUAAUGACUGUAAUCAGGUUGUCAAACCGCAGGCAUUUCAGUCACACUAUGAAAGAAGACAUAGCUCAUCCAGCAAGUCUUCUUUGGCUGUUCCUCCUACUUCAGUAUUUUCCUUCUUCCCUUCUCUGUCCAAAAGCAAAGGAGGCAGUGCAAGUGGAAGCAGCCGGUCUUCCAGUGGAGGGGUCCUUUUCACGUCCUCGUCCAGUUCCAAGUUGUUGAAAUCGCCCAAAGAGAAACUGCAGCUCAGGGGGAACACCAGGCCCAUGCACCCCAUUCAGCAGAGUAGAGUCCCCCCUAGUAGAGUCAUGACACCCUCUGUGAAGGUGGAAAAGAUGCAUCCGAAGAUGGAUGGCACACUACUGAAAUCUGCAGUGGGGCCAACCUGUCCUGCUACUGUGAGUUCCUCAGUCAAGCCUGGCCUUAACUGCCCCUCAAUACCAAAGCCGACCUUGCCUUCACCUGGACAGAUUAUGAAUGGCAAAGGGCUUCCUGCACCACCUACUCUGAAAAAAAAAUCUGAAGACAUUUCCAAUAACAGGAAGUUUUUAAAUAAGAGAUUAUCAGAAAGAGAGUUUGAUCCUGACAUCCACUGUGGGGUCAUUGAUCUCGACACCAAGAAGCCCUGUACCCGGUCUUUGACAUGCAAGACACAUUCCUUAACCCAGAGGAGGGCUGUUCAGGGUAGAAGAAAACGAUUUGAUGUGUUAUUAGCCGAGCACAAAAACAAAACCAGGGAAAAGGAAUCGAUUCGCCAUCUGGACUCUCAGCAACCACCACAGCCUCUCAGGGACCCGCAUCCCACCCCUCCUAGAACGUCGCAGGAGCCACACCAAAAUGCUCACGGAGUGAUUCCUUCUGAAUCAAAGCCUUUUGUAGCUAGUAAACCUAAACCUCACACCCCCAGUCUUCCAAGGCCUCCAGGCUGCCCUGCUCAGCAAGGUGGGAGUGCCCCCCUUGACCCUCCUCCAGGCCAUGAAUCUCCACACCCUCCCCUGCCUGCCACUGAGCCAGCUUCUCGGUUAUCCAGUGAGGAGGGCGAAGGCGAUGACAAAGAAGAGUCUGUUGAAAAACUGGACUGUCAUUAUUCAGGUCAUCAUCCUCAGCCAGCAUCUUUUUGCACAUUCGGGAGCCGACAGAUUGGAAGAGGCUAUUACGUGUUUGACUCCAGGUGGAAUCGGCUUCGCUGUGCCCUCAACCUCAUGGUGGAGAAGCAUCUGAAUGCGCAGCUGUGGAAGAAAAUCCCCUCAGUGCCCAGUACCACAUCACCUGUCUCUGCACGUGUUCCUCAUAGGACAAACUCUGUUCCGACAUCACAAUGUGGGAUUAGCUAUCUUGCAGCAGCUACCACCUCUACAUCCCCAGUUCUGCUCUCGUCCACCUGCAUCUCCCCAAAUAGCAAAUCAGUACCAGCUCAUGGAACCACACUAAAUGCACAGCCUGCCACUUCUGGGGCGAUGGAUCCUGUGUGCAGUAUGCAAUCCAGACAAGUGUCUUCUUCAUCCUCAUCCCCCUCCACGCCCUCUGGCCUCUCCUCGGUCCCCUCCUCCCCUAUGGCCAGGAAACCUCAGAAGUUAAAAUCCAGCAAAUCUUUAAGGCCCAAGGAGUCUUCUGGUAACAGCACUAAUUGUCACAACAGCAGUAGCAGUACCAGUGGCGGCUCAGGAAAGAAACGCAAAAACAACUCCCCACUGUUAGUUCACUCUUCCUCUUCCUCCUCUUCUUCUCAUUCCAUGGAAUCUUUUAGGAAAAACUGUGUGGCUCACUCCGGGCCUCCCUAUCCAUCAACAGCAACAUCUUCCCACAACAUCGGCCUCAAUUGUGUGACGAACAAAGCACACUCAGUGAGCCUCCAGCAUGAGCUGUCAGGGAGGGGCCCCCCUGGCGGGAGCCCUGCUGAAUCCAUCAAGAGGAUGAGUGUGAUGGUGAACAGCAGUGACUCCACGCUUUCUCUUGGCCCAUUCAUUCACCAGUCCAAUGAACUGCCUAUCAACUCCCACGGCAGUUUUCCACACUCACACACUCCUCUAGACAAACUCAUAGGAAAGAAAAGAAAGUGCUCGUCUGGCUCCAGCAGUGUCAACAACAGCAGCAGCAAACCCACAAAGGUUGCCAAAUUGCCAGCCAUGAACAACGUCCACAUGAAACACACAGGCACCAUCCCAGGGGCACAAGGACUGACGAACAAUUCCCUCCUUCAUCAGGAUAUCUCCUCACCUUGCUUACGAACAGGAAUUUCAACAGCAGCACCCCAGAGCCCUGACUUAAAAUCCAAAGGCGCGUCCCUGACAGCUGAAAAUAGCACGGGGAGGAAUAAUUUGGACACUUUUGAGGACAAGUUACACCUCCACUCAGCACUCUGGACUCCACGAUGCCUUUGAGUCUCUUUUCCCAACCUCCUGUGGGCCUCCAGGGUAACUGCCAGGCCGUUGUUUCCACGAGGAUUUCCCUGAAGCUGUGUCUGUAGCAGUGAGUACUUUAAAGGACACUGGAUCGAGUUCAGCACCGGAUUGCUUUUAUCAGUGCUAAAGUGGUCUGGACUGCUUGCUACCAAUCUGUGACAAGUUUUUGUUUGUUUUUUUAACUUGCAGUAUAUCACGGAGCCACUCUUUGAAGAGAUUGGCUGGGCAAAAGAAUGUUUUGGCAAGAGCGUUAUUGUAGACUUUUCUCUUUUCUCCCUCUCCCUACCAGUUUCUUUUUUCUUACACGCUGUCUUCUGUAGAUCACUCUCCAGCAGAUAGGCACCUUAGCUGGAGAUUGGAAACCUUCCAGAGGAAAGAGAGCUGUACUCUGAGCAGCUUUCUGGAGAAGGGAAUUUGGCGUUAGAUUUUUAUAGCAGUGUUUCAGAAAUAGAACGUGAUAUUGGCUCAAGGCAUCAUGACACAUUAGCCCAGCCUUUUGCAUGUAAUUUGGGAUAUGAAGCUGUCAGAAGCUUUGAACUUACAAACUGGUUUGAAGCCAUUGAUGCCUACCUAGGCAGCAAGUAUCAGUCAUUAUGGAGGCUUAACUUUUUAUGGUACAAAACCAAUUCUAUGUGAUAGGAAAAACAUAAAAUGGAAACUAGUUUUGAUAAUGGACAGCCAAAUCAAGGCAGAUGGUGGGGGAAGGUAAAAUCCCUGUGGGGGUGAAAACUUUUUCCAGGAUUUCCAAAGAGAUGGAAUUUUCCUGUUAAACAGUAUGUCAGAUUGAAUUGAUUGUCAUGCUCUGUUUUUUAAGAUUUGCCUUUUUAAACUGAAAUUAUUAGGAUUUACUUAAAUAUUUCCAAGGCAUUACCCCUCCCCCCCCCAUUUUCCUCUCUGGAUAUCAUCCCUGAGAUGAAGUAUAAAUUUCUGCUUCCACUGCUGUGGGCAUUGUUGUGUGUCCCCACAUACCUUCAGGCCCCAGCAGGUGUUUAUCUGGAUGCAGAGAGCAGACCCCAAGGUUGGGGAAGUUGGGAAGUAUAUUCAUAUGCCCAUGUGGAGGCUUUGUGUGAGGCCUGCAUAGUGUUUCCUGACACACACCCUCCUGUCUUGGGAUCAGAGAGGUUUGGAACCCUCCAAGAUAUUUUUGUAGUAUUCAAUCCCAAAUGAAAGUUUAAAAUGUUAAAACAGCAUUGCUUAAGAAGGUGUCAUUAAAUUUGGUGACUUGGGUCCUUUUAAUGGGCCAUCCCACCAUCACAACUCCUGAACCAAGAACCAGACCUCUGGCUUAGGAGAACACACAGAGUAGCCGAACACAGGGUAAAAUUUCCAUGGCUCUGAUCAUUGUGCUGGGCAGGGCCUGGACAGAGCCAGUCAGAGUAUCCUUGUUUCCCCACAAUUCUUGGGUUACAAACUUAAGUUUCAGGGAAUUUCAAGUCAACAACAGGUAGAAUGAAUAAAUACUUGGUUACCAGCCUAAUAAUGUGAAUUACUACAGAAUUAUUCUUAUUGUGUAAGAAAACAAAGACUUUAUGCAGAUACUUUAGCUAUAAAUUGAUGUAAAAUACUGAUUUUUUUUUUAAAGGAGGGGAGAACAGUAUCUUGUUCACUUAUUAUGCAAUCAAUCAGUAAAUGUUUUUAAAAUGAUACUAUAGGAGAGCUAGCAAGAAGAGAAUGUGGAUGGGCCAGUUUGGUAUUGUUAGGAGAAAUCAGUCUGGUGGUUCAUCCCAGUGGGGAAGAGAGAUGAGAGGGAAUCGGGACGUACUUAGUGGAUUCCUUGGUGACAAGUGCAAUGGGGUAUGGGUUGAAUUUAUUUUCAAAGCCAAGGGGACUUGAUGGUUAUAAAUUAAGUUGAUUUUAGUGAUGGAAUUUAUAGACAGAUCAUGUUGUUCCGAAAGAUGUGAAUAGAAUCCACACAGUAGCAAGUUGAUUCAGAACAAUGUAGAUACUUAGAUUAGUGAAUGUUGAUCAUUUGAUUUCUUAGACUGAGGUUUUAAUUGAAUUUCAUUAUGUCUCCUGGUAAUACACAGAGCAUUGGGAUUAGGAAAUUAGCCAUUUUGAAUUCUGCCUGCCACAAACAGACCUAUUCUAAACAGUGCUAUUAAAUUUUAGACUGUUCAAAUAUUUUAUUUUCUCCAACAAUGACCUUUUAUUAUGAUGAACAAUUAAGACCAUUUAAAACAUGGGAGGACAUGUAUUUUUUUGAAUUAAAUUAACUUACAAAAACCAAAUUUGCAGUGGUUGGGUUGUUUCUAGACAGACUUUGGUAUCAAUUUAAAACCAAGAUAAUUUUUAUAUUCUUUCCAACAGAAUUUCAUGACAACUUCUGCAGUUUUCUUAACCUUCAAAAAAAGUGCUGCAAUGAUGAACAAAGAAUUAUACAAAACCUACUUUUGUAUCUUUAUUUUGGGAUUUCUUGUUCUAUUAUAAAUAUGGAAGUAUCCCUAUUUCAGAAGACAUAUUUUGUUAAAAAUGAAUUGUACAUAUUUAAAUAUGUAUUUUUGCACAGGUCUUUUUUUCUGAUAUCCUGUUUUGGUACAAUUGAGAUCAUCUAGUAUUUAUUUAUUAAUUAAUAAAAGUAAAUACCUUUUUAUAAUUUGAAGUGGUUCACUGCCAAGCCAAUAGUUCUAGAACCUGCCUCCUUUACAGUUUAAGGGAUGCCUCUGUUCUGUGAAAGUCUUUGUCCCUUUUAAUGUCUCGGGAGUGGAUUCAUACAGAUGAAGUGGGCAUUGCUUCUCCUUAGUUGCCUGAUUUCCUGAUAGACUACAUGUAACUAAGUGACACACUGCUUUUCAUUUGUUAGUAUUUUAUGUGCGAGUGUGUGUGAGCGCAAGUGUGUGUGUGUAUACACUCUGAGCACACGUGUAUUAUUAGUAUGUUAUGUGGGUUAAAACUAAUUGAAAAACUGAAAGUGCCUGAACUUAGUUUUAAGCUUAGACAGAUUCUCUUUAAAAAGACUUGAAUGUUCAGUUGAAUUUCUGGAGUUUGCUUUUUCUGCUUAACUAUUGUUUCUAAAAUUUUAGGGGAGGAGUUGAAAACCACCAGUGCUGGUAAAUUUUAUAAGAUAUUUUAAAUUUAAGACCUUUAGGUUCACAGUAAUUUGACUGGCAAUGGAUUGACCAGUGGCACCAAGGGUUAAAAAUCUUUUGUCAGCCAGCAACUUACAUGAUGUGUCUGCUUUGUUAGUAACUCAUGAAAUACAGAGUUUAAAAUAGAAUAUUUAAAAUAUUUUGUAUUCCAAAAUAUAAUACAAAGAAGUAUACCUCUGAGGACAUUGAAAAAAAUGUAUAAUUUGAAAACCAUAACUUAAAAGGCAGCUGUCUUCCUGCAAGAGUUCUGUUGCCAAGGAAUUUCUUAAUGUCUCUCAUUCUGUCCUGGGUGGGGGGAAAGUUGGGCUUUGAAAAAGUGAUUGUUAAACGUUUCAUUGUUUAGAGGAAAAUAAUCAUUUUUACAUCUUGUGCAAAACAUUUUACGUUUUCAGAUCAUUUAAAUGAGCACUACAUACUGUCGGUGUGAAUGUAGGGCCUUGAAAGCAUUUUGCUUCGUUUUUUGGGUUUUUGUUUUUUUGUUUUGUUUUGUUUUGUUUUGUUUUGUUUGAGCUUGGUUAUAAAAGCAAUCUCCUGUGUUAAAAUGUGUGAAUAGUUUGAUAAUGUGUACACAUAAUCAAGAGCAUCUCAGCUGGACUUUGUGUUGGCUGCUGUAUAGAACAUGAACAAAUGUCAAGGGAUAGAAAAUUACUUUGGAUAUUUAAAAGAGAAGAAAUAUAUAGUCUAUUUGUUUUGUAACAAGUUUCUGUAAAUAAAAUAAUUUAUACUAUUUAUAAGAAAAAGUUGUGCUUUGCUUUAUGAGAUACUAGUUUAUGGAACAAACAUGUUACUAAACAGGCAAUAAAAUUAGGACUUCUCAAUAAAUAAGGUUGGCUGCAUGAAAUAUUUCACAUGUUUCUGCCUCUUGAUACUAAGCCCUCUCAGUCUAGUUUGCCUCUUUACAUCAGACAUCCUUGGGAAGCACCUGCACUUUAGCCUCCCUCCAGUAUAAGCCAAAUAAAUACUUCUGAGGCAUUAGGAUGUUUCCAUUCCUGGCACAGAAUUUUGCCUUGGGUAAGUCAGUUAACUGAGUACACACUGGAUACUACUGUAUUUUGGCCCUGCAGGUUUGUGAAGGAAAUGGGGGGAAGGAGAGAAUUGAUAUUUGAAAACUCCAUUCUGUUUGAACUUGCUUAUCUGUAAAUUUGAUGACAAGCAGUCAGUUUUGACUGGAGUUUUUUUUUGUUUUUAGCCAGAGCUAGUCUAAUCUCUUCCUUAUUUUUAAAUACCUCCCUUACUGGCCAUACAAAAGCAUUUAAUUAUUAUUCUGAAUGUAACAUUUUAUGCAUAGAAAUCUGGUCAGUUUUACCAUUUAUAGAUAAAUCAUUCCAGUACGUUGAAUUUUUUUGUUGCUUAAGAUAAGGGGAGCAACUGCUUUGUGUAUUGGGGGAAAAAUGUUCAAAUCUUACAUCAAGGAGCCAGACUGGCAUCAGUCCCCACUGUCUAAUGGACCUCCCAUUCCCUUCUUAGAUCAACCAGUGACUGGAUGCAAUUAUAAGAAGCUCCUGUGGAUAAAUCCUUCUACUGUGAGUGUCCUCGGACCUUCCAGGAAAUGGAUCACCCACUCAAUCUUUUACCCUUUUUACUUCCAUUCCCUUGCAGGUAACCUCGCCCUGGAUAGCAAGAGAGACCAUCUCAAUUCAAGCAAGAGGAUUUGGCAGUUUGGACCUUGGCAUAUGGAAUUUCACUGGAAGAAAGACAGGGUAAGGUCAUUUUGGGCAGAGGAGCAAGUGGGACAAAGGUGGGAAGAAAUGUGAGAAAAUAAUUCUGCAUGAAACUUGGUGGGGGUUGAAGGAGUUAAGUGUAAGAUUGUUAAGGACCUUUAUUGUCAUGAAGCCUUUGUCUUUACAACAUAUGGGAUCAACCUCAUAUUAACUCUGACAUGUAAUUGUCAGAGCCCAGAGAUGUCGCAAAGUCCAGUCCCAACACUGUACAGCUACCAAAAGGAAGAGCCAUUGAUAUCUUUACUGGACACUGUGGGAAUCAAAGGUGCACUAAAAUCUAUUUCCUUGUUUCUUGCAUUUUCACUAAAAGCAACUAAUUAGAUUGGUCUUUUACCUUGUAAAGCAACCAGUUGGCCAGUUACCUGUUUUCUACAACUAAAGGGCACGGAACAAAGCUGGCAGUAUAAGAGUAUCUCCUAGGAGAUACUUCUUGCCUCCAACGUAAGCCUUUACCCUCCUAUGAAAAGCGCUUUCCCCUAAGUGUUCUCUGUUCUUAUACACCUUUCUCCUCUUUAAGUCUUUCUUCUAAGAAGCUCUUAAUCCUGUUGCUAAAGUAUUUGGUUAUAAUUUAAUACUUUUCCUAAAAAUCUCCAUAACUUAGGGUCCUCCACUAACUAUGGGAAGACACAAUGGACAGGUGAAAACCUUGGAACAAAAAUAAUUUGCAAAGCUAUUGUAAUAAUUCAGGUAAGACCUACUGAGUUUCUAAACUAAGGCUGUGAUAAUAGGAAUUACAAGAACUGAUAUUUUAUGUAUAAUUUUGUGGUGCUGCGGAUCAAACCCAGGGCCCCAUUCGUGCUAGGCAAGCACUUUACCACUGAGCUGUAUCCCCAGCCCUUAGAAAUCUUUUAAAGGUAAAACCAACAGCCUUGAAGGUGUAAUUAUGUUGACUGUUAAAGAGUGAAUGAGUCUAAGAUGGUUUAUAUAUCCAGCAUGGCCAAAGCAAUUGAUGAGUAUGAAAUGAAAUGUGACAUGGUAACAGAAAAGAAAAAAAAAAAAUGUAACAAUGGAUUUAAAUUGCCAGGGGAAAAAGAAAGUUUGUGCCCAGUUGGUUGUAGACUCUAGAUGAAGCAUAGUUAAGAAGUUUGAGCUAUGAAUAGAGAGGAAGUUGUUUUUCACUUUUAGGUGGGAAAUGAGGUCAUGGCAGUAAAUUUACCUGGGAAAAAUAGGUAAUUCUUGUAUUUGGCUUAUUAUUAUGCCAAAAUAAUUCUUACUUGUAAGUCUUAUUAGUGAGCCAGAUAUUAUAGCAAGCAUUUUACAUACUUUCUGUCUCUCACAAAGCUUUUGGAAGGCAGGUAUUUUGACCCCAACUAUAAUGAUGAACUUUUAAGGUGGUAUCUUGCCUCAGGUCCCUCAUCUAGUAGGUAGCAGAAUGAGGCUGUGAAUACCAGACUGUUCUUAAUGUUUUUAUUUUUGGUCACGGACUCCAAGAAUCACAGGCACACCACACUUAAUACUCUAUUUCCAGGAUUUCACAAACCCUCAAGCCCACCUUUGAAGGCCCAGAGAGAGAACACAGCCUAGGACAAAACUCUAGCCAAGAGUACUGUGGUGAAGACAGAUGCAGAAGCAGCAAUUCAGAGUGAAGCAUCAGAGAAGUAAGGGAAAGCAAGAGGUGACUCGGAAAGGGUUUAGAGUAAGAAGUUUAGAGAUUUAACCAUUAUAAUUACCCACAACCUUAUGUAAUUUUUUUUUCUGUUAUUUUCUCAAGAUAAUGAGAAUAAUAGGUAUUUGUUGGGUAGAAAAGUUUGGAGGUUGCCAAAGAAUUAAGAGUAUAGGCAAAGAUGUGGCUAAGUGACUAAUGAGGGUAUAGAUGUUGAGUAUUGAAAGAAGAGAACUAGAAGCUACCAAAGAAUCUAGGCAGGCACUGUCAAGACACUUGUUUGAUUGCAAAGAGGGGCUAACUCCCAUGGCAGGUGAAGGAACCAGUUUUUAAGGUGGUCACAGUACUUUGAGGAAUAGGCCAAAGUAUGGAAUAGGAUACCAGGGUCUAAGUGGAAAGGUUUCAUUUUCAAAAGUAGAUCUAUUCGGAGAUGGUGGUGACUCCUAAGUGAAAGUAUGACAGUGGAUGGAAGUAGCAUGUAGAAAAAGAGCACUGGAGUUAAGACUUGGGAUCUGUGAAGUUAGGGUAUUUAGUGUAGAACUUGUCUGUUUCAAAGUUCUUAGCAGGAUAACUAAGCCAGCUGUUCAGAUCUGGAAUAACCUAGAGGAGGUAGAGGUGGGAAGUUGGAAGUCUGUGACUGAGGACAGACAGCGAGUACAGGGUACUUAGUGGUAAGUAGGUUCACAGGAAGGCAUUCUGAAUGAGCAGAACCAAUGGCCUGGAAAGGGACUAGGAAUUAGUGGAUGUCAUCUUGGUUCCAGGUUUCUGAGGUGUAUGUGAAUGAACAGCUUCUAACCCAGAGGGGUCCAAGAAAAGCUGAGUAAGGCCUCAAAAGUCAAAUGUAGAGUUUAUCAGCGUGAUAUUAUACUAAUCAAACUUUGGAAAAGCAGGUCUCUGGUAACUUCUGAAAGGCAGGGUUGGUAUAGUUGUUGAAACACCCCCUAGUGGCAACUUUCCCGUUGACCUUUCAUGAUGGAAAGGUGACAUAAUAGCUGAAAGGAAAGCUAAUCAUUCUUUUGGCAAAUGAAUGAAUUCUUUGGCAAGUAAAAGUUUGCUUUACUUCUUAAACCUAGUCUGUACAGAGACCGUUAUACCAUUAUUUCUGAAUGACAACAGCUUUCUCUCUUCACAGUAUACUUCAAGACCACAAAGGGUUUGGAGGACACUGCUGAAAGUACUUGAUAUAUCAUUUUGCUUAUCUUCAGAAACACAAGAACAAUGGCAGAUGGCUAAAUGCUACAAGCAAGGAAGAAGAAAGUGUUGGGGACUUUCCUUUUAAGGCCACAGUAAGCCUCAGCCUUGAUCAAAAAAAGCCAUAGUUGCUGGCCAAGUAGUUUUACAGGUGAGAGCUAAAAGAAAGCAUUAUUUCAAUCUUUUCUUGUACCCUGAGCUACAAAGUCAAUUUGCUAAAAAUAGUGUUCUGCUCAGUCUAAAUGGACACAAGGAACUCAGCAAGUUCUCAGUGAUUUUCAGAAUCAUAGGGCACUUUUUGUUCAUAAGCAUUUUUAGAAAUUCUUAAGUGGCUGUUCUCAAAUGCUUUACUACAGAUGUCCAACUAAAAGCCUCCACACAGUACCUCCAAGAAACUCAAGCACAGCUUUAGCCACGCUGCACUCUUUACCCCACAUACCAGUGGCUCCUCAUCUGACAACACUGAUAGUAGUCACAGCUGGACUUUGAAGACCAAGAAAAACUGCAUCAUUAACUUUGAAAGUAAACCACUGAGAUCACAUAGUCUGAAUGUCUACUGCCACCGUAACAUCACCUCUGUGUACUGAACAACCCAACUCAUCUCUAUCCCCUUCUCUCUUUAGGAUGCAACAUGAAACCAUGUCACUUCCAUACCUAAAAGCCUCUAAUGGCAUCCCAAAACCUAGGUUAAAAUUCAAACUUCACAGCAUGAAAUAAACUACAAGGUCCUACACCAAUAACUUAACCUCCCUCACUCUCAACCUUAGUGCUCACAGGCAACUGCUUCUCCUGGAGUGAUCUGCAACAACCCGGCUAAAAACCCUGCAUUUGCUAUUUCUGUUUCUGCAUCUUGGCUGACCCUCAAUCUUAGAGUACACCUUUACCUCCUCAGACAUGCUAUUUCUAAGGUAGACUUCAGAGGAUGUGCAAAAAAUAUGCAGUGAUCUAAGUCAUCAUGAUAGCUACAGUGAGAUCAACAAAGUAACAAGUACUCUAAUGAUCUUUAACAAACCAGCUUGCUUUUCUCAUCUGACACUGGAAGGAGCAGGCUGUAAGGAAGGAAGAGAUGACAGCCAUGACUGUUCGCAAAAUACUUUGAAAAAAAAUUCUUGCAGUUUUUUUCCCCCCCUUAAAAUUGAUGGAAGCAACGCAAACAGAAAAUGUAGAAAAACAUUAAAAGGGAAUUUAAAACAUAGGUUAACAGGAUGUUAUUUAAACUUACUGAUCAAUGAAUUCCACACCAACACCAAAUGCUUCUGCCAUA
This is a non-coding RNA of Castor canadensis (American beaver), 16406 nucleotides long. Lineage: Eukaryota; Metazoa; Chordata; Mammalia; Rodentia; Castoridae. The record is from RefSeq and is a predicted model, not a curated record.